ACCAGGCCCAGAGGUCACCAAAACCACCCACCAAAACUGAAAGCAGCCGUUGGACAAACAGCAAAGCCUGAACACUGGACUGGGAAUUGCAAGCUGACAUUUUAUUCUUCUUCGCUCAAAAAUAAAUCAAAUCUGCAAUUCACAAGUUAACACCUUGGGAAGCUAAUUAGGCAGAGCCCAAGCUGAGGGUUUUUGGUUCUGUCUCCCAAGAUAAGCUGUUUAAUGAGACCAUUUGUUUUCAAUACAAAUAAAUGAGGAUUCGUCCCCCUUCAAUCAAGGAGCAACUAAGCCUCCAGGUCCCAUUGGGCUCUUUUUGCUUAAACCCUUCAGUACAACUGAUCUUGGUAAAGUUCAGAAUACAAACUAACCCAUUCUUUUGGAAGGUAUACUGGGAUUUUUCAGUUUAUUUUUCAACUGUUCUCCACACCCCACGUUCCCCUACCCAUUCAAGCCGUUCAAUUUCAAAUUACAGAAUUUGACUAGCUUCAGUUUAGGUCUAUCUACUCCAUUUCCCCAAAUGGCCGGAGGGGUAAACCUGUCGGGUAUGGAACUUUUCCCAAUCUCUCUCCUCCCUUGCAAAACCCAGCCUCCGACAGUUGGAGAAGCUCUGUUCCCUUUAGGACUGUUUAGCAAGCCAAACUAUUUCAGAGCCUUUUCUGGUAGAUUAGAAUGAAGGAGCCCCUCCCGUAAGUGUUUGAAAAAGAACAAACCAAAAUCUCAUCAACUCAUUCAAUUUAAACUGCCGCAGAACCCAUCACUCAACUGAGGCGAGUCUGUGUGGUUUUUGCAAAGUCACUAUACCACCUCGCUUCUCCGCCCGGCCCCGGAGAACACCUCUGCCAUUCAGAGUUCCACUUCCCCAGAAAGCCACGGGGCAACACCUCAGAGACCGAGAGAAAAGCUCCUAACUCUUCCAUCAGAACGCUCCUCUUCGUUCAAGUGGAAAGAAAUCCUUUCUUCUUCGGAAACCCCAGCCUCCUUGAGUCGCGGCCGGUGCCCUGCACCAGAGGUCCCGUGUUGGUCCCCACGACCGGCCCUGCCGCCGGAGCUGUUAACAUUUCCGUGAAAUCUGAGCCCUCGUGUCUAGCUUUCAUCUGACUUCAAGUUCCAGGUCCAGAGAUCAAAUCCAGGACCUGACUCCACCACUGAACACACUCUACACCUCUGAAUCCUGGAGAAAGACAGCUACCUCUCGUGAACACUGAGUGACAACAGCCACAGCCUUGCCGUCAGAACCUGGCUGAGUGUGGCUCAGAGGCACAGAUAUCAGACUGCCUGAUAAAGAUGAAGACGUGGAGCCUGCCCCGAGUGCACACAGCUGCACUGGAGAGGAGGCGGGACGUUCGCCCAGGACUUUCUGACUUCAAAAUCCAAGAGAAGAGUAAUUAUGCCGUGGGGAGGGAGGUGUAAUAAACCCAGUUUUGCCUGAUAAAUGGGUUUUGCUUUGGAAUGAAGCCAAUGGAAUUAAGGCCUAUGAAGGCAUUAAAACUGCUUUCGGUUAUUAUUCUGCAAGACGGAAUUCUGCAGUUGUCCUGCAAGUGUGCUUGGCACAGUGAUUGUCACCAAGAGAUGUCCACGGCCAAACCCCUGCAACCCAUGGUUACAUCUGCCCCACACGGGAAGGGACCCGGCAGAGGCGACUGAGGAUUUGAGGUGGGGAGAUGACUGUGGGGUAUCCCGAGGGCCCAGCGUCAUCACAGGGUCCUUACAGGAUCAAGGCAGGAGGCCAGAGUCAGGAAGAGAUGCGGCAGUGGGAGCAGAGAUUGCUGAUGGCUUUGAAGACUGAAAAGCACAAGCUAAGGAGCGCACUAGACUAGGAGUCAGAAAAGGCAAAAUGCUGCAUUCUUCCCUAAAGCCUCCUCAGGAGUGCAGGCCUCUUUGUCUUUUUGCUGGGUGGAGGGAGCCCAGGGCCUCCAAAUGCCAAGCACAUGCUCUACCAUGGAGCCGUGGAGCCCGGUGCACAUUUGAGACUCACGCUCUGCAGACCCAUCAGAGUAUAAGUCUGUGUCGUCUUAUGUUGCGGUGUCUGCACGGUCUGUUAAGGAGAGAGAGGAGACGGAGGCACCAAACACUGAAGCAACUGUCUGUGUGGCUGCAGCCGACAGGACCAUGAGGCCCCGCUCUGCAUCCCUCCCCUGCUACUCCCAGGCUGGCUGGGGUCAGAGCGCGUUAAUGAAAUGACUCUGUGCUUCGUCUUUCAAUUACAUGGUGAGGCUGAGGGGAAGUGACACAGAAAGGGCCCGGGUCAGAAGCGGAGGGGCCUGGAAGCUCCCUGCUCCCCGCUCAUCCUGUUAGAAUCCAAGACACAGGCACUGUGCUGACGAGAUCGACCUCAGCCAGAGCAGCAGUGUGUCACUGGGCAUAUAACUCACCUGGUGUGCACACGCAGGUGUGCGAGCGUGUGUUUGUGUGUGUGUGUUUAAAGCUGGGGAAUGAAACAAGGCCUCACACAACUACCAACCAACACUUCGUUUCUCAACUCACACAGCCCAUCAUGUGUCCUACAGACAUUGAAAGAUGUGUUGCAGCUGCAGUUAGGGGCCGGGGACGCAUGCUCUGCGUGAGCGCAAAGUGAGGUACAGAAGGCCAGGCCGCAGCAGAAAAGACCUGGAGACAGGUUGCUUCCCUGCCCCCGCCCCUGUCUGCCCCUCCCCUCCGCUCCCCUCCCACUCCCCCUGCUUCCUCUUCUACUUUGCUCCAGAUUGCAUAAAACACUUGGGAGCCGGAGAAGGGCAGGAGCGAUGUUCCAGAUAGCAACAAGAGCAGACAGAAAGUUCAUGGGGGUUGGAGAGAGGGGAGAGAGCCACGCAGGGAGUUCGAAACCAGGACUCCAGAGACCUCCCAGAAGAAGGAGACUGUGAAAAAAAAAAAGUCCUCAGGACAAGAAAAUUCUCUCACAAGACAGACUCCCCCAGUCCCCAGCACACACGUGGGGAGCCCAAGGCACUGGGACAGGCACUAAGGAGGCCGGAUGCCAGGGGAGCCCUGCCUACCUGGUCCCUCUCUCCUGAGAAGAGGCCACAGGUGCCCCCCCCCACAUGCCUCGGGGUGUGCACCCCAGGAGUCUGGGAGAUCCCAGAGGCCAAGGCUGUGGGUCAGACCCUGCCCUCCCUCGGGUCCCCUCUGAGGCCUUGGGGCACCCCAAGUGUGCCUGCUGAGUGGGUGCAGUGGCUGGGACGGAUGCAUCACCCAGAGGGCUCCCCGGAGGCCGGCCGCACCCCCUCUUAUGGGGCAGGGCCCCUCUGGAGCUGGGGACAACAUGCCCUGUCCAUGAAGCCAGUCCCAGGCUGGGCAUUCGCACCCCAAAUGGCUCUUGCUCCCUUUUGGAGCUCUGAACCCUCGUUUGGGCCUGGGCCUGCGUGGGCCUGGGGGAGAGGCUGUGCAUUGUCUCGGGCAUGGCUAACCCUGGAAAACUCACGAUACUAUUUUGAGCCUUCUGAAAGCGAGAUCUUUCUGAAGACAGCUACAUAAUAUGAUCCUAAUGCAAAAGCACAACAAAAUAUUCCACCGGCAGAGGAAUGACCACCUAAAUAGAUAGGUGGGUUGGGUAAAUGAUAAAAGCUGCCAUUUCCCUAUCAGUGAAAGAAGUGGUUAUGCAAUAAAUCACAUGGAAUCCCUUUUGGAAAAAUAAAACCUACCUACAACUGACCUUUGAAACUGUUAGAAUGAAAAUGCUCUUGAGCCUUAAGUCCACCCCGGCCUGGCCGCAUGGCCCAGGGCUCAGCCCCUGUAGGAAUGACAGAGGCAAGGGGCCCACACUGUGCUGCCCCCCGACAGGAUCCUUUCUUCUUCCUGUGCAGAAUGAGUCCAUUUGCCCCAGCUGGCUGUCUUUCAAAACUGGAGAAUCACGAUUUCCAAGUGAUGCACAUCAGAACCCGCAGGGAGAUUGCCACACGAGGCUCCGUAGGAUCCACCCACCGCGGAUUUGGGAUUCGGUCUUGGGUGGGGCUGGGGAAUGUGGUGGAAGUGAUGCUGUGAGGCCUUUGGGAACUGGGUUUUGUAGGAUUCAGGGUCUUCAGAACUAGGCACAGUGCCUGGCAUAGGCAUCAUCAGUGGAAGCAAAGGCAAGGGUGGGGGACCACAUCUGUAAUCCCUGUGCUCUGGGAGGCUGAGGCAGGAGGACUGCAAGCUUGAGUUUCUCAUGGGCAAUUUAGUGACUUAAU
Heterocephalus glaber (naked mole-rat) is the source of this 4163-nucleotide non-coding RNA. The record is from RefSeq and is a predicted model, not a curated record. NCBI's taxonomy places the organism in Eukaryota, Metazoa, Chordata, Mammalia, Rodentia, Bathyergidae.